CAAGAGGGAAGGAAAUAACGUGAGCAGAAAGCUAUCUUGGAGCGUUUUCCGGCGUGGAGUGGAAAAAUUAAUGAAAGUUGGGAGGCAGCCGUUGAGGGAGAUGAAGACUUCGCUGCUUCUGACGCCAGCCGUCCGCUCUCCCCCGCUUCCCUUCUCUCGCUUUAUCCAUGGCUUGACGACGUUUCCCAAAAACUUUCCUAAAGUCUCCCACUCCACAAAACCUCACUUCUUUCGUCCUCCUAGACGCCGCCGCCUCGUCGUCUUCUCCCCUCUCGCCAUGGCCUCCUCCGCGCCUCGGUCCUCUCAGGUAGCAGCGCCUGGUGAUGUGAAUGACGGUUCCGAUGCUUUUCAGCGAAUUCAGGCUCACCAGGAGGCAGCAGCUCGACUUUCUCCAAUUGAGGAAAUACGAACUAUACUUGAUCAUAGUGUCAGGGGAAUGCUCUCUACGUUCUCACAGGAGCAUGAAGGUUAUCCAGCAGGGUCGAUGGUUGACUUUGCGUGUGAUCAUGAUGGCUCUCCAAUACUAGCAGUUAGUAGUUUAGCAGUUCAUUCAAAGAAUCUCAUGUCAAAUCCUAAAUGCUCUUUGCUUGUUGCCAAGGAUCCUGAAGAUAGGACUGAUACAGUAAUCACCCUAUAUGGAGAUGCUACUCCAGUCUCUGAAAAUGAUAGAGAGGCCAUACGUACUGCAUACCUCAGAAGACAUCCUGAUGCAUUCUGGGUUGACUUUGGUGACUUCAAUUACAUCCAUAUCAAACCCAAAUUUGUGCGAUACGUAUCUGGAGUUGCUACUGCUCUGUUAGGAUCAGGAGAAUUUGAUGCGGAGGAGUAUAAAUCUGCAAAAGUUGAUCCAAUAUACCAGUUUUCAAAGCCUAUCACGUCCCACAUGAAUAGGGAUCAUGCUGAUGAUACAAAAGCUAUAGUACAAUAUUCGACCUCAGUUAAGGUGGACUCUGCUUAUAUGCUGGAUGUUGACAGUCUUGGUUUCAACGUAAAGGCUGGUUAUCAAGGAAACACUCAGAAGCUUCGGAUACCAUUUCCUAGGCGUGCCCAAGAUAGGAACAUACAACCGAUAUGGGACUGAUACAAGCUUGCACAGAUUCUGACAUGCUCCCCCUUUUAAGCCCAAACAUCCUCACAAGGGUCCAAUCAGAAACAAAAAUACCAUGACUAGCUCGUGGGAUGUGAAGACUCUCAUUGUGGAAAUGCUUCAAGCUGCUAAAUCCUCUAGUUCCACAGCUGAAUGAACAAUUUACUAAGGAGAGAGAAGUUAUCGGUUGUUUGUCUGAUAUCAGAUGAAUACAUAUAAGGAUAUCCGUGGGCAUGGUAACUCUGAGGAAUGUGGAAACUUGAAAGCAAUAAUUGUUGCCGUAAUGGCAAAUGGAAAUCUUGGCAUGCUUCUAAGGUAGCUACAUGGAUUUGGGCUUUAUUCUCAAAGUUUAAAUCAGAUAUAAACAAUUUGAUUGUAAAGGAUGUAUUAUAUCUCAAAUUUUCCUUUCUCAGUACAUUUUAGGUCUUAAAUUGGUAGUAGAGAUUGAUGUUCCUGAAAUUUGAAGAGUGGAAAGAGACGUAAGAACGAGUACUAGCUAUCAUGUUGAGAAUAUAGGGGACUUUGCAGUUUAUCUUCCACUAAAUUUUCUUCAGCUGUGUCUGUAAGCUUACUUUGCCCAGCAUUAUCAUCAUUUUCAUGUUAUAAACAUUUUUAUUGCUACGGAGACACAUUGUGUAUUCCUGAAAGAUUAGAAUGCAAUAUUUUGUCUUCUCUUGGA
Molecule: non-coding RNA, 1766 nt
Organism: Phoenix dactylifera (date palm)
Lineage: Eukaryota; Viridiplantae; Streptophyta; Magnoliopsida; Arecales; Arecaceae
Source: RefSeq, a predicted model, not a curated record